UGCCCUGAAGAAGUUCUUCCUUGUUUAGUU
This 30-nucleotide non-coding RNA is filed under the name Rattus norvegicus (Norway rat). The record is from RNAcentral. Lineage: Eukaryota; Metazoa; Chordata; Mammalia; Rodentia; Muridae.